GACGUAGGUCGCAAACGUUAUCCGGAAUUAUUGGGCGUAAAGAGUUCGUAGGUGGCAUAUUAAGUAAGGCGUUAAAGCCUAGGGCCUAACCCUAGUCAGGUGCUUUAAACUGAUAAGCUAGAGCAAAACAGAGGCUGGUAGAAUUCUGUGUGUAGGGGUAAUAUCCGUAGAUAUACAGAGGAAUACCAAAAGCGAAGGCAGCCAGCUGGGUUUUUGCUGACACUCAAGAACGAAAGCGUGGGGAGCAAACAGG
RNAcentral lists this ribosomal RNA (253 nucleotides) under uncultured bacterium. RNAcentral's name for it is "partial 16S ribosomal RNA". It matches the Rfam family "Bacterial small subunit ribosomal RNA", at positions 524 to 776 of the family's 1533-position model. The record is from RNAcentral.